CCCCGGGCUCCGUGCGCUCCGGCCACCGCCGCCCCGGUGCUCCAUGAGGAAACCAGCCCGCGAGGUCCCAGUGACCCGAGUGGCCCGGGCGUUCUCCCCGGAUGAUUCCGGGGAGUGGGGGCUACAGUGACACCCUCCGAAGUCGGGCACGUUUUCUUCCCUCGCCUUGAAACAGCAGCUCUAAGAACCAGCCUCUGGGAAUCUGGGGCGUUUCAAGAAGAGUCUCUUUAAACAAUGUGCCUUCCCC
This is a long non-coding RNA of Perognathus longimembris pacificus (Pacific pocket mouse), 247 nucleotides long. RefSeq lists it as uncharacterized. The record is from RefSeq and is a predicted model, not a curated record. Lineage: Eukaryota; Metazoa; Chordata; Mammalia; Rodentia; Heteromyidae. The transcript is spliced from 2 exons.